RNAcentral lists this ribosomal RNA (481 nucleotides) under Paruroctonus becki. RNAcentral's name for it is "partial 16S ribosomal RNA". It matches the Rfam family "Bacterial large subunit ribosomal RNA", at positions 1832 to 2600 of the family's 2925-position model. The record is from RNAcentral. Lineage: Eukaryota; Metazoa; Arthropoda; Arachnida; Scorpiones; Vaejovidae.
GGUUUUUAGAUUUUAUUAAAAAUCAAGCCUGCUCAAUGCUAAGUAAAUAGCCGCAGAAUUUUAACUGUGCAAAGGUAGCAUAAUCACUUGUCUUUUAAUUGAGGACUAGAAUGAAAGGUUUAACUAUGUAAUUUUGUCUUAUAGUAAUAUUUUGAACUUAAUUUUUUAGUAAAAAAGCUAAAAUUCAUCUUAAAGACGAGAAGACCCUAUUAAGCUUUACAAUUUAAUAUUAUUUUCAAGCUAAUUAAAAAAUUGUUCUGCUGGGGCAGCAAAUAAAAAAAUAUUGUUUACAUAUUGUGAUAAAUAAAUCUAGAAAAAUCAAUAAUUUGUUAAAAAAUAAUAAGUUACUAUAGGGAUAACAGCAUAAUUUUUUUAAAGAGUUCUCAUCAACAAAAAAGUUUGUGACCUCGAUGUUGGAUUAAGAAUCCUAUUUUACGCAGUAGUAAAAAAAGGGAGUCUGUUCGACUCUUAAAUUCUUCCA